GAUGAACGCUGGCGGCGUGCCUAAUACAUGCAAGUCGAGCGAACAGACGAGGAGCUUGCUCCUCUGACGUUAGCGGCGGACGGGUGAGUAACACGUGGAUAACCUACCUAUAAGACUGGGAUAACUUCGGGAAACCGGAGCUAAUACCGGAUAAUAUAUUGAACCGCAUGGUUCAAUAGUGAAAGACGGUUUUGCUGUCACUUAUAGAUGGAUCCGCGCUGCAUUAGCUAGUUGGUAAGGUAACGGCUUACCAAGGCGACGAUGCGUAGCCGACCUGAGAGGGUGAUCGGCCACACUGGAACUGAGACACGGUCCAGACUCCUACGGGAGGCAGCAGUAGGGAAUCUUCCGCAAUGGGCGAAAGCUUGACGGAGCAACGCCGCGUGAGUGAUGAAGGUCUUCGGAUCGUAAAACUCUGUUAUUAGGGAAGAACAAAUGUGUAAGUAACUAUGCACGUCUUGACGGUACCUAAUCAGAAAGCCACGGCUAACUACGUG
RNAcentral lists this ribosomal RNA (497 nucleotides) under uncultured bacterium. RNAcentral describes it as "partial 16S ribosomal RNA". It matches the Rfam family "Bacterial small subunit ribosomal RNA", at positions 28 to 507 of the family's 1533-position model. The record is from RNAcentral.